This 297-nucleotide long non-coding RNA is filed under the name Felis catus (domestic cat). RNAcentral describes it as "lncRNA (ENSFCAG00000050169.1)". The record is from RNAcentral. Lineage: Eukaryota; Metazoa; Chordata; Mammalia; Carnivora; Felidae.
CUUUGUUUCCACGGCUUUGGAACUGGUGCGUUCCACAGCCAUCGGGCUGGGUUGUGGCGUGAGGAGCCCGGCGGAUCCCCACCCCAAGAGUCAUACUGUGGCAGAAAGGGCCACUGGGUUUAUGGCCAAAAAACUUUUGGUUUCCAGCAAGCUGGAUAACUCUAGGCCAAAAGGAACUCUGGAACCAUAGUGAAGGGGCACGUUGAUGUUCAGAAGGUUGUUGAUGCAUCUCCAUUGAGGGCAGCAGUUGAUUGCAGAGAUUCCUCAGUUCCAAGGACAUGGGUAAGUUUUAGCUAA